This 346-nucleotide ribosomal RNA is filed under the name uncultured bacterium. RNAcentral's name for it is "bacterial SSU rRNA". It matches the Rfam family "Bacterial small subunit ribosomal RNA", at positions 8 to 350 of the family's 1533-position model. The record is from RNAcentral.
AGAGUUUGAUCAUGGCUCAGAUUGAACGCUGGCGGCAUGCUUUACACAUGCAAGUCGAACGGCAGCACAGGGAGCUUGCUCCCGGGUGGCGAGUGGCGCACGGGUGAGUAAUACAUCGGAACGUGUCCUGUUGUGGGGGAUAACUGCUCGAAAGGGUGGCUAAUACCGCAUGAGACCUGAGGGUGAAAGCGGGGGAUCGCAAGACCUCGCGCAAUUGGAGCGGCCGAUGCCCGAUUAGCUAGUUGGUGAGGUAAAGGCUCACCAAGGCGACGAUCGGUAGCUGGUCUGAGAGGACGACCAGCCUUACACUGGGACUGAGACACGGCCCAGACGCCUACGGGAGACA